RNAcentral lists this transfer RNA (74 nucleotides) under Candidatus Omnitrophota bacterium. RNAcentral describes it as "tRNA-Ile". It matches the Rfam family "tRNA". From Rfam's summary of the family: Transfer RNA (tRNA) molecules are approximately 80 nucleotides in length. Their secondary structure includes four short double-helical elements and three loops (D, anti-codon, and T loops). Further hydrogen bonds mediate the characteristic L-shaped molecular structure. tRNAs have two regions of fundamental functional importance: the anti-codon, which is responsible for specific mRNA codon recognition, and the 3' end, to which the tRNAs corresponding amino acid is attached (by aminoacyl-tRNA synthetases). tRNAs cope with the degeneracy of the genetic code in two manners: having more than one tRNA (with a specific anti-codon) for a particular amino acid; and 'wobble' base-pairing, i.e. permitting non-standard base-pairing at the 3rd anti-codon position. The record is from RNAcentral. Lineage: Bacteria; Pseudomonadati; Candidatus Omnitrophota.
GGGCCCGUAGCUCAAUCGGUUAGAGCAUCUGGCUCAUAACCAGGGGGUUCAUGGUUCAAGUCCAUGCGGGCCCA